Molecule: small RNA, 29 nt
Filed under: Bombyx mori (domestic silkworm)
Lineage: Eukaryota; Metazoa; Arthropoda; Insecta; Lepidoptera; Bombycidae
Description: piRNA piR-bmo-1701010
Source: RNAcentral
UAACAUACUGUUCAGCAUCCUGUUUGGGA